This 492-nucleotide ribosomal RNA is filed under the name uncultured bacterium. RNAcentral describes it as "partial 16S ribosomal RNA". It matches the Rfam family "Bacterial small subunit ribosomal RNA", at positions 29 to 507 of the family's 1533-position model. The record is from RNAcentral.
AGUGAACGCUGGCGGUAGGCCUAACACAUGCAAGUCGAACGGCAGCACAGUAAGCGCUUGCUCUUACGGGUGGCGACUGGCGGACGGGUGAGGAAUACAUCGGAAUCUACUUUUUCGUGGGGGAUAACGUAGGGAAACUUACGUUAAUACCGCAUACGACCUACGGGUGAAAGCAGGGGAUCUUCGGACCUUGCGCGAUAGUAUGAGCCGAUGUCGGAUUAGCUAGUUGGCGGGGUAAAGGCCCACCAAGGCGACGAUCCGUAGCUGGUCUGAGAGGAUGAUCAGCCACACUGGAACUGAGACACGGUCCAGACUCCUACGGGAGGCAGCAGUAGGGAAUAUUGGACAAUGGGCGCAAGCCUGAUCCAGCCAUGCCGCGUGAGUGAAGAAGGCCUUCGGAUUGUAAAGCCCUGUUAUUGGGAAAGAAAAGCAGCAGGUUAAUACCCCGCUGUUCUGACGGUACCCAAAGAAAAAGCACCGGCUAACUUCGUG